CCUACGGGGGGCAGCAGUGGGAAAUAUUGCACAAUGGGGGAAACCCUGAUGCAGCAACGCCGCGUGAGCGAUGAAGGCCUUCGGGUCGUAAAGCUCUGUCCUAAGGGAAGAAUACUGACGGUACCUUAGGAGGAAGCCCCGGCUAACUACGUGCCAGCAGCCGCGGUAAUACGUAGGGGGCGAGCGUUAUCCGGAAUCACUGGGCGUAAAGGGUGCGUAGGCGGCCUUUUAAGCCAGGGGUGAAAGGCUACGGCUCAACCGUAGUAAGGCCCUGGAACUGAUUGGCUUGAGUGCAGGAGGGGAGAGUGGAAUUCCCAGUGUAGCGGUGGAAUGCGUAGAUAUUGGGGGGAACACCAGUUGCGAAGGCGGCUCUCUGGACUGUAACUGACACUGAGGCACGAAAGCGUGGGGAGCGAACAGGAUUAGAUACCCGUGUAGUC
This 440-nucleotide ribosomal RNA is filed under the name uncultured bacterium. RNAcentral describes it as "bacterial SSU rRNA". It matches the Rfam family "Bacterial small subunit ribosomal RNA", at positions 338 to 795 of the family's 1533-position model. The record is from RNAcentral.